Molecule: ribosomal RNA, 472 nt
Filed under: uncultured bacterium
Lineage: Bacteria
Description: partial 16S ribosomal RNA
Rfam family: Bacterial small subunit ribosomal RNA
Source: RNAcentral
AGUGAACGCUGGCGGUAGGCCUAACACAUGCAAGUCGAACGGCAGCACAGUAAGAGCUUGCUCUUACGGGUUGCGAGUGGCGGACGGGUGAGGAAUACAUCGGAAUCUACUUUUUCGUGGGGGAUAACGUAGGGAAACUUACGCUAAUACCGCAUACGACCUACGGGUGAAAGCAGGGGAUCUUCGGACCUUGCGCGAGUGAAUGAGCCGAUGUCGGAUUAGCUAGUUGGCGGGGUAAAGGCCCACCAAGGCGACGAUCCGUAGCUGGUCUGAGAGGAUGAGAGGCAAGAGUGGGACGGAGAGACGGGCAAGACUGAGACGGGAGGCAGCAGUGGGGAAUAUUGAAGAAUGGGCGGAAGCAUGAAGCAGCAACGCAGCGCGCGGGAUGACGGAAUUCGGGGUGUAAACAGCGUGCGCCGGUGACGAAGGGGGAGUGACGGUAAGGGGUAAAGAAGCACCGGAUAACGACGUG